Molecule: long non-coding RNA, 1450 nt
Organism: Capra hircus (goat)
Lineage: Eukaryota; Metazoa; Chordata; Mammalia; Artiodactyla; Bovidae
Exons: 3
Source: RefSeq, a predicted model, not a curated record
CCAGGUGAAAAGGAUGCUUGACUACCUUAAUCUUGUGGGCUGUGGGGUGGUUUUGGCUGGGGUUCUACAGGUGGAACGGCUACAGCCUUCUGCUCAGUCUGCGAGGAGCCUUUGUUAUCUCUGCAGCGAGUUUUGGACUCUGGCAGUUUUUGAAGAAGAAAAAAAGAGGCAAGGACAGUGGCUCUUUGUGUCUCUCAAAGGCAGCACUGUUUCUUCAGGCUGGCACGGCCCACGGACAACGUGCUGCCCUUCGUGCGGGAUUGUUUCACUGCCCCGACGCAUGGACUGCCCGGUGCCAGCCUUCUUGUAGGAGAGAAAGGCUGGAUGCCCCCUGCGAUGCCAGGACAGCUCAGAGAGCAGCAAAUUGAGAUCACCUUCUGAUGAUGGCUGUCAACGAUCCCUCCUCAUCCUCUCUUCACGUCCCUGGGGAGCAAGUUUCAGGGCGUGCUUCCUGUUACCUGACUCACUUUGGGCUCCUGUUGCCUAGAGGUCCAUCGUGGUCUUGACCUUAGAAGCAUUUUUGAAGACCAGCUCUGUGCCACCCACUGCACCCGGUGCUGAGAUACCAAGAGAAAACAUUCCAGUCUUCACAGAGCUUCUAGGAGCUCAGCAGCUAAAUAGAGAAACGGUUUCCGCCCGUGGGAUGAGUCCUGUUUUCUCUAUGAUUUCUUCCAAAAGAAAGAGCAAUAAAUAAAGCAAGGCAAACAUGAGCUGUGUCAACAGAGCAAAACACCUGCGGGACAACAACUUGAAGCUGACGAAGACUUAUGCAACUUUUUAAUGGUUUGUCCUCAAUCCAGCAGUAAGAUUUUCCUGACAGUAACUCACUCCCUGCCAAAGAGAGCAGGACCCUUGAAUCUGGUGGAGAAAUUGACUAUAAGACUGUACUGUGGUUUCUGGGAACACUGGACAAAGUUUGUGAUUGCAAUCUUGGUCACAGAAAGAUGUUGUACAUAGGUUAGCAUAUGAGACAGAAAAUGAUUCUAGUGACAGCAGCCAAAACAUCCAAAAUAUAUACAGGAUGUACAGUCUGCAAAGCAGUUUUACACAGAUUAUAGCCCCUCCUCCCCCAACACAGGUACACACACACACACCCUAAGCCAAGGGGGUGGAUGUAAUUUUGUUCAUGGUACAGAUAAGAAAUGGACUCUGAGCAAUGGAAGUAUUAGUCACAAAAUCAUGUUCCUCCUUCAUAUUUCUGACUCCUAUACAUUAACCAUCUGAUUCCAUUUAUGAAGUGUGUAGUCUUAUUGACCUGUAGUAAAGCCAUUCCUCAGCUUUGAUACAAUAUCAUAUAAUUCAUCAAGGUUGGGGCUUCCCUGGUGGUCCAGUGGUUAAGACUUGGCCUUCCAAAGCAGAGGGUCAGGUUCAGUCUUUGGUUGGGGAGCUAUGAUCCCCUCUGCCUUGAAAACAUGAAAUAAAUGUUUUUCAAAACAUGAAAUAGAAGCAA